UACGUAGGGUGCAAGCGUUGUCCGGAAUUAUUGGGCGUAAAGAGCUCGUAGGCGGUUUGUCGCGUCGAAUGUGAAAUCCCGGGGCUCAACCCCGGGUCUGCAUUCGAUACGGGCAGACUAGAGUUCGGUAGGGGAGUCUGGAAUUCCUGGUGUAGCGGUGAAAUGCGCAGAUAUCAGGAGGAACACCGGUGGCGAAGGCGGCAUCCUGGACCGACAUUGACGCUGAGGCGCGAAAGCCAGGGGAGCAAACGGG
This 253-nucleotide ribosomal RNA is filed under the name uncultured bacterium. Its description in RNAcentral is "partial 16S ribosomal RNA". It matches the Rfam family "Bacterial small subunit ribosomal RNA", at positions 524 to 776 of the family's 1533-position model. The record is from RNAcentral.